ACUGUGGCUCAGUCGGUAGAGCAGCUGAUUCGUAAUCAGCAGGUCGUCGGUUCGAUCCCGAUCAG
RNAcentral lists this transfer RNA (65 nucleotides) under pig gut metagenome. It matches the Rfam family "tRNA", at positions 5 to 66 of the family's 71-position model. Rfam says of the family: Transfer RNA (tRNA) molecules are approximately 80 nucleotides in length. Their secondary structure includes four short double-helical elements and three loops (D, anti-codon, and T loops). The record is from RNAcentral.